RNAcentral lists this non-coding RNA (172 nucleotides) under Clostridium pasteurianum. Its description in RNAcentral is "Lysine sequence". It matches the Rfam family "Lysine riboswitch aptamer". From Rfam's summary of the family: Riboswitches are metabolite binding domains within certain messenger RNAs that serve as precision sensors for their corresponding targets. Allosteric rearrangement of mRNA structure is mediated by ligand binding, and this results in modulation of gene expression. Lineage: Bacteria; Bacillati; Bacillota; Clostridia; Eubacteriales; Clostridiaceae. RNAcentral also lists the same sequence under 1 other name. The record is from RNAcentral.
GUUAGAGAUAGAGGCGCGAUGCUUAAGAGUACCUUUGUGGAGAUAAGCACUAUGAAACAAUGUGAAAGGAAUCAUCGCCGAAGUUAUAUAGUUAAUGCUUUGAGACUAUAUUGCUGGUUGUGCAUAUAAUAUAUGUAUAACUGUCACAAUUUUGUGGAGAGCUAUCCUGAGC